This 926-nucleotide small RNA is filed under the name Rattus norvegicus (Norway rat). Its description in RNAcentral is "uncharacterized LOC102554403". The record is from RNAcentral. Lineage: Eukaryota; Metazoa; Chordata; Mammalia; Rodentia; Muridae.
CCUGCCUGUCACAGCCCUGGGUCCCUUCAAACAGUAAAGGUUAAACAGAAAUUCCCACAGAACCCUCCAGUCAGGAUGAAAGGGCAAUGGGCAGACAGCUGCGGGCAGCAGAGAAUGUUUCAAGCCAACAAUGAUGGUGGCCCUCUGGAUGGGAGGGUUCAACAGGAAGGUGAGGCCACGGCUGGAACUUCAGGGCCGUAUAACGCAUCUGGACCGCAGGUUCUCCCUCCACAGCCUCGGCAGAUCAAUAGAUCCUCCGUGGAUUGACUGUCUCCCAUCCUCCAAGCUGCCUGUCCGUCCCACCAGUGAUUUGGCUGGCUGUUUGAAGCGUGUAUCGUGGUUUCUGUUGGAAAGCGAGUUAUCCUCAGAAAGUCCACAUGGAGCCGGGAGAUAAAACACAAAACAGCCCAGGGCUACAAGUCCCCGGUGAGUGCACAGGUCUAAGGAGCGGCCUCCAGCUGCUCUGCGAACUUCCCUAACAGAUUUCAGCCACCCAGAGAGCACCAAGGUGAGGACGAUGGGAGAAGACCACGUGGCAAGAAGACUCAAGGGGCCUCCACCUGACAACCCAUUGGCAGCUGUCACUAGGCACGAGACCCCUCCCCAGUCGAACUUCGGAUGGGACUUUAAUUCUACCCAAAACUGGAUUUAAGGCCUGCCAGGAGGUGCUGACUCGUGUUGUUUCAAGGCCCUAAAUGGGUGGUCAUUUGUUAUGUGGCAAAACAUCUUUAAUACAGCGGAGUAUCGAGUACCUAAGAUGCCUGACGUCCUGUAAGCACGAGGAUUAGCUCCGUGUGCUUCCAGCCCUAUGCUACUCACACAAAUCUGAGCAAGUGUAGCUACUGUUACAUGCUGGAUUGCAGGUCAUUGUCUUUCUAACUCCAGGCUACUCGUCCAACUUUAAAUCCUUAUUUUAUUAGAGCUCA